This 253-nucleotide ribosomal RNA is filed under the name uncultured bacterium. RNAcentral's name for it is "partial 16S ribosomal RNA". It matches the Rfam family "Bacterial small subunit ribosomal RNA", at positions 524 to 776 of the family's 1533-position model. The record is from RNAcentral.
UACGUAGGGUGCAAGCGUUGUCCGGAAUUAUUGGGCGUAAAGAGCUCGUAGGCGUUUCGUCGCGUCGGCUGUGAAAACCCGGAGCUCAACUCCGGGCCUGCAGUCGAUACGGGCGGACUGGAGUGUUGCAGGGGAGACUGGAAUUCCUGGUGUAGCGGUGAAAUGCGCAGAUAUCAGGAGGAACACCGGUGGCGAAGGCGGGUCUCUGGGACGGUACUGACGCUGAGACGCGAAAGCGUGGGGAGCGAACAGG